UCAUAUCCUUGCUUGCUGGGCCAAAAUACACAAGUCGAAUCCUAUUUGGGCCAACUUGAUCCAGUCUGUUUAUUAACUUUCCUUCAGGCCAAACAAAAAAAACUCCUUGCCCAAGAAACGUGCUUGAUGCGUCCCUUUCAUUCUCAGCAAUAGAACAGUCGCGUCACUUUCAUUUUCAACCAAAACCAUGGAUAUUGAAAACAGAUUCUCAACAUUCAAAUUUCAAAUUUAAAACUCCCCCCCCCCCCCCUCUCUCUCUCUCUCUCUCUCUCUCUCUCUCUCUCUCUAAACACCAAAGUCACACACUUCUUCACUUGAUUAUCAAAAUUUUCCUCCAACCUAUUUCAAUACUCAUCCGAGUAUGAUGUUUUCAAGUAGGAGAAGAAGAAUCUGAAACAAAGAGGCAAAAAUAUGUGUUGGUUAUCACAAAUUUUGAUAACCAGUAUGAUUUGAUUUCAUAUUCUAAUCUGAUUUGGUAGAGACAUCAGUAUUAGCUUUAAAUUGAUGAAAUUGGAGGGAUUUUGUUGAUUUUCAAAGUUGGAAGGCAGACAAACAGGGUUGGGAGGCUGAAAGAAAGGAUUAGGAAGUAGAAAUACAAUUUGGAACCACUUAUGUGUUUGGAAAAAGAAGGGAGGUUGAGGUUUGCUUUAGGCCUUUGUAGUUGGCUUUAUUUGUGUUUUGUUGCCUUGGUGUUGUUAUGAGUUUUUCCUUUUUCUAUGUCGAUUUCGCAGCUGCUAUCUUUUAGGCUUUUUUUGCUGCUUUCGGUUUUGUUUUUUCCUUUUAAGUGCCAUUUUUCUUCUGGAUUAAUUGUUAUCUAACAUGAUUUGAUGAAUGACGUUUUUCAUGAACAUACCAAUAUUAUUAUAAAUGUGUUGCUACAAGUGCAAAUUAACUAUUUUAUGAAGAAACUAUUUUUCAGGUGCUUCAAAUAUGUUGUUAUAGGUUUGAAGACUUUUUUGUGUUUAUACUUUGUUACUAUAAUCAUGGUUCAAAUAUAUGAUUGGGGAUAUGCUUUUUAAGUUUUACCAAUCCCACUUUUGUUGUUUGCCUCAAACAAUUUUCGUUUCUGGCUAAAUUUGCAACCAUGUUUCUUCUUCCAUGGAAUUUUUAUGUUAUUUCUUAAAUAUAUACAUGAAUCAUUGUUCAAUAACACAAAAGUUUGAUAAAGAUUUAUUUGAAAAAAGGAGAUCCACAUGAUCAAAAGCAAUGACUCAAAAUAUAUUUGUGUUUUGUUCUUUUUACUUUCUAUGAUUCACAUGUUUUUAUAUCCUUCACAUUACUUGGAUCAAUAGCAGUCCAGAACAUCUUGAUUCCAAGAUUUUGAGAUUUGAGAAAUAUUGUAGAGUAAAUUCACAAGCAAAAUAACUACUAAAUUUACUGAAUUUUUAUUGUUCAAAAUGUAUCUUUUUGUUGUGUUUUUGGAUUUUGCCCCCUACCACACUUAAUAGUAUUGAGAGAUUGCAUGUCAAGGUGACAUAGUUCUUAAUCCUAAUAAGUAAAUGAUUUUUUUUAUAAGCAAAAAGUAAAUGAAUUAGUUACAAUGGCUGCUCAAUUAAUCAAGUGUUGGAGGUUGAUUUAUGGCUUUAGACAACUCAAGUGUAGCCUUAAUUGUUCACGCCUUAGCUGAAAAUCAUGUCUUGGUGUAUCUACUAUUAGCAUUCUAAUUUGUGUUGCCAAUAAUAACUUUUGCCUCUUCAACAAUUGACUUCUUUAGUCUUCUUUUUAUCUUUUAUGUUAAAAUUUUUGAUUUAGAUCCUUUUCUUGUGAGCUUAUGUCUAUCUUUGUAUUAUUUAAUAGAUGGAGUAGAUUGAGGUUCUAUUCAUCUUUUGCUUCUUUGGUAUGGUUUGUGCUCUAAUUAAAGAUGCACCUCAAAUGUUUGAGACAUGGCGUAUUUUAUUAAAUUGUUAAUCUCUACGUUUGUUGGUGAUAGGUUUUACAUCAAGUUUGAAAGAGAGUUCAAAUAAAUCAUGUUGGAGAGUCAAUCAAACUGAAGGCGUUGUCUGGAGCAUAGAGAAGUAUAAUGUCUCCUCUUAGGAACUUUCGAAGCCGUUGAUGUCUAUAGAAACAUACUUUUAUCAAGAGUUAUCAAUGUGAUGUGCAUUAGUAUCCACUAAAUUUUGUUGAUGUCUUUCAGGAUCUAUUGGUUAAAGUGGAUACAAGGUGAAGGGAAAUAUGGGAAUAACUUUCAAUAUCAAGCUUUCAAUAUUUCUCACUUAAUUAGACUAACUACAAUUUAAUAAUUCUAACUUCAUGUAUACAGAUAGAGUUAGCACAUACAUAAAAUAUGUCUGCUCAAUAAAGAUAUAUAGGCGUUUUGCCUUUCUUAAUGUUCGCCUUGAAUCUUGAAUGUAGUAAAUUUGUAAAAUAAAUGUGGUGUAUUUCUUCAAGUUGGGCAGGUUUCUUCGUGUUAUUGUUUGUUCCUUUUUAAUUAAUUGUAAUUGUAAUUGUUUGAAUCUCAUCGUCUGUCUACCUUGGUGAUUUAAUUCAAUUUGUGAAAUGUCAAUA
Trifolium pratense (red clover) is the source of this 2505-nucleotide long non-coding RNA. RefSeq lists it as uncharacterized. NCBI's taxonomy places the organism in Eukaryota, Viridiplantae, Streptophyta, Magnoliopsida, Fabales, Fabaceae. The record is from RefSeq and is a predicted model, not a curated record. The transcript has 6 exons.